RNAcentral lists this ribosomal RNA (774 nucleotides) under uncultured Neocallimastigales. RNAcentral describes it as "partial large subunit ribosomal RNA". It matches the Rfam family "Eukaryotic large subunit ribosomal RNA", at positions 24 to 614 of the family's 3401-position model. The record is from RNAcentral. Lineage: Eukaryota; Fungi; Neocallimastigomycota; Neocallimastigomycetes; Neocallimastigales.
UAUCUCUGUAGAGUCUGCAUAUCAAUAAGCGGAGGAAAAGAAACUAACUAGGAUUCCCUCAGUAACGGCGAGUGAAGCGGGAAGAGCUCAAAUUUGAAAUCUUCAAGGUUUUACCUUGACGAAUUGUAGUUUAAAGAAGUGUUUUCUGUUGGAGUUUUGGUAAAAGUUCUUUGGAAUAGGACAUCAUAGAGGGUGAGAAUCCCGUAUUUGACCAUUAUUUCCAGCUUUGUGAUACACUUUCAAAGAGUCGGAUUGUUUGGGAAUGCAGUCCAAAAUGGGUGGUAAAUUUCAUCUAAAGCUAAAUACUGGCGAGAGACCGAUAGCGAACAAGUACCGUGAGGGAAAGAUGAAAAGAACUUUGAAAAGAGAGUUAAACAGUACGUGAAAUCGUCAAAAGGGAAGCGUUUGACACCAGUGUUGUUUUCUCGAAAAUCAAUUAAAAAUGGCGGGAUUUUGUGUUGUAUUGACUUUAUCAGCUUUCUGCACUCUUUUCCUGUCUUUUUUAAUGCACUUUUCGUUUAACAAGUCAACAUCAAUUUCUUUUGUUGUAAAAGAGUCAUUGGAAGGUGGCUUUCUUUUCGGAGAAAGUGUUUAUAGCCUUUGGCUUCUGCAAUCGGAGAGAUUGAGGUCUGCAGCGUAGAUCCUUCGGGGUUAGAUACAUUUGUGCUAAGUUAUAGCCUUUCAUAGACAACUUGUUGACUAUGAUCAGUCAUGUAGCUUACUCGCUUAUGCUAUUUUACCUACGCUUAGGAUGUUGAGUCAUCACACAUCUCU